UUUCCGUAGGUGAACCUGCGGAAGGAUCAUUAACGAGUUAGGGUCUCCCAGGCCCGACCUCCCCACCCUGUGUUUACUGGACCUCUGUUGCUUCGGCGGACCCGUCUCACGACCGCCGGAGGACCGCCGAGAGGCGUUUCUCUGGCCAGCGUCCGCCGGUAGCCAACCACACAAACCCUGAAUAAAUACCGUGACGUGUCUAAGUCUCUGAUCGGAUUAAAAAGUAAAACUUUCAACAACGGAUCUCUUGGUUCUGGUAUCGAUGAAGAACGCAGC
This 276-nucleotide unclassified non-coding RNA is filed under the name uncultured fungus. RNAcentral's name for it is "sequence contains ITS1, 5.8S rRNA gene". The stretch from base 228 to 276 matches the Rfam family "5.8S ribosomal RNA", at positions 1 to 49 of the family's 154-position model. The record is from RNAcentral. Lineage: Eukaryota; Fungi.